GUGCACAUUUAAUGAAAAGUUACAAAGUGAAUACACAUUCUUAAAAAAAUGUCAAAAACCAGGACAAGAAUAUAAAAUUGAAUGUAUUGUGUGUGGAGCAGCAUUCAGCAUUGAACAUGGUGGUAAGUCGGAUAUUACACAACAUUUAAAAUCGGAACGACAUAAUAUAGCUGCUAGAGCGUCUAAAUCUCAAAAAUUGUCAAAUUUUUUUCUCCGAAAACACAAUUUGCUGAUAAAGAACAAAAAUUAGCUGCAGACGAAGGAAUUUUUGCUUAUCAUACUUGUAAACACAGUCAAAGUCUCAAUUCUAUGGAUUGUACUUCUCAGUUAGUUCGUAAAUUAUAUUAGAAAAAAUUUACUUGUGAUAGAACCAAAACAAAAUCUAUCAUCACUAAUGUAUUUUUACCCUAUGCUGUUAAUGUUUUAAAAAAAUGAUUUACUCAAGUGCAAUUUUGUAUCAAUUAUGACUGAUGCAUCUAAUCAUAAUUCUCAAAAAAUGAUACCGAUUCUUGUUCGCUAUUUUAUAUGGAGGUGUCCGUUAAGGGAGAUUUCACUGUAUUUGAAAUAUACAUUUUUUUAGUCCCGUAUUUUGAAUUUUGAAAUCUGGUAACCCUACAUUAAAGUAAGAUGUGUUGACAGUCCAGUAUUCUGCGUUCCACCGUUCGCCAGUUGCCGACCAUUUAGCUAAGGGGGUACGGAGCAGAGACCAUUAUCACUAUUACUGUUAUGAUUGUCGUUUCAAAAUAAUAUUGGUAAGUACAUUUUAAUAUAAUAUAUGUAUUAAAAUUGUCCUUUUCACAUUUGUUAUGUACAGUUUCGUUUUAUUUAUACGUGGUCAAUUCAUAAAAUGUAGUACCUACCUAGUUAGUAAUUAAGGUAUGGCGGGGUAUGUGUGACCACUUUUAUUUUUUUAAAAUACCAUUACCAUUAAAUGGACUGUAUUAUUUGUCAGACAUUAGAUAUGUGAACAUUUCCACUUAAAAGUGUCAAUAAAUUACAAUUUAACCCAUGAUUAGCCCCAAUUUUAAAAAAAAAAAAUCUAGAGGGUCACACAUUACCAUUAUUUUAGGAAACUGUGAAUCUGCACAUAAAAGUAUGUUAUUGAAUAUAUUAAAACUUUUUGGGGCAAGUGAUGGGAUAAUCUACGCGUUUUAAGAAUUUAUUUGAUACAAAAAUGAAAAAAAUUGAACCACUAGUUCAAAAAGUUAUGAACUUUAAAAAAAAAAAAAUAUUAAUUAUAGUUUUCCAGAUUUCAUCCCUAAAGCCUAUAACAUCAAUAGGUAUAAUAUAAUCAUAUAGGCCAUAUAAGAUUCUCAGUUAACACUUUCCCCAUAUCUAUUUACACUCGUAUAGGUAUAAUACCCCAAUACAAUUAAUGAAGGUGUACGAGUGAAAUCGUAAUUAAACAAACAUAAUAUACAAUUAUGUUAUUUAAUUAUUAAAUUGUUAAAAUAUGGGAUAUAUUUAAAGAAAUUACUCGUUUGGUUCACUCAAAUCGGAUGAAAUUAAAUGUACCUAUUAGACGACGUACCAAACGGUACCGAAUUUUUAUAUGUAGGUAAGUUUUAUCACGCUACUUUACGCGGGACUUGAUAACACAAUAUAUAAAUAAUUUGACAAACGCACACAUUUUAGCGGCUCCAACGGCACAAUAUGACGCGUCGAUUUAAUGUCGUCUGGUGUAAUAAUUAUGAAUUAUGAAUUUUACCACUUUCUUUUCAUCUAGCAGUCGCACUUACCCCACCUUACCUUAGUAAAAAAAGUUUCUCCUGUAUUGUUUAAUGUUUCAAGUUCAACAUCAACCAACUAGAUAUUGUAUUUUACUUACCUAUGUUAAAUGUUAAGUAUAUUUUAUUUGUUGGUACAAUAGGUACUCUAAAUAUUUAAUACGACGCUUCCCGAAACUACAUUGGUCACUGAACACUGCAGUGAUUCAGUGGCGCAACCUGGGUUUUUCAAGGGGGAUAAAAUAACUUAAGAAAUUAAAUAAAACAAUUUUAAGUUGGUAUAUUAUAAAAGUGCUUAUAUAUAGGGAGGGGGGGCUGUUUUUCCUCCCUGGUUGCGUUAUUAUCGUGUGAUUAUGUUUACCCUAACAAUUUAGUACUCUCUGGAAAACAAUCCUGGUGAACAGUAUUCAAUCGAAUAAUAAUUAUACCUAGAUUAGUUCUACCUUCGACCGUGGUUCUAUAUUUUGAUAUUUAGGUAAGCGUCUAUUAAAAUUCAACUCAUAGAUUCACCUUAAAGAAAUGGGGCAAAUUUUUAGAAAAAUAUAGCGUAUGUACAGUUUUUAUCCAAUUUCUAAUAAUGAUGGUAGGUACCUACCUACUAUAUAGUAUUGAUUUUAGAAUUGAAGUCUAACUAAGCGGGGUACGAUGGUUAAACAGCAAAUUAUUCUCAGAUAGUUUGCCAUUUUGCCGACCGAUACCUACUAUGAUAGCGUUGUUUUUAUAACCGAGCGAAUGGCGGGUUUAAAUGCUAUCAUGUAUAGUGUGGGUAGGUUACGUAUUUAUUCGUACGGCAAGUGUAUGGCGGUAUCGCUAAUAAAUAAUUAUCAUGUUAGAUAACGGUAGAGCUGUAGGUGGGUAAUAAUUGUUGUAACUCGUCUCUCGUCACACUCGUUUUGUAUUUAUAGCCAAUUGGCUAUAAUAUUAUAAUAUACGAGUAUAAAUAUAUAGUGUUCCAAAAAUAGAUAGAUCAUUAAACGCCACUGUAUUUUUCGAGUGCGUCCAGCGGUGUGUAUACCCUCGGGCCCACCCGUGAGAUUUUUAUACGCUCGUUCGAUGUCCGAUCGUUUCGUCGAUGUCUGCGUUUAUUAUACGCGGUCGGACCCUGCAGACUAUUGGAACGCGUUAUUAUACAACCGAUGUUGCACUACGCCAACUCUCCUCUUACUCAAACUUAAAAGCGGAAUAUCUCGUUAAUACGUUGACGGAAAUUAAAAAUCUAUUUGAAUCAAAGUUGUAUCUAGGUGUAGAAUUUUUAAUGCGGGUUGCUAUUUGAAAAUCAAAAGUUACUAAUAGUGGUUUCGACCACAGAAAGAAGGACGACAAAAAACAACGGUACGUAACAUUUUAUAGAGCUGAUUGUGUUUCGUAUACAUUUUCGAAAAAAUUAAUACUUUCCUGGAUAAUGCGUGUCUCAUCGAGGAUUGAUCACUAUAUAUUAGUUUACCUACUCGCCACAAAUAAUAACCGAGUGUACUUAUAAACGCUCGCAGUACCCCCACAGAAAAGAAAUCCGAAACCCCUCAGGUGAUGGGCCGGGAUAGCGCGGCCGGGUGUCGGUUUCUGUCGUCGUCAGCUGCACAAGACUUGACCGUAUAAUAUUGUAAAACGCGUCCUACAUAAUAAUAUGAUAAUCGGAUCCUCGAACCGAAUCGAUAAUCCGGACGUCUGGCGAUCGAUUUGCGGAAGAAAAGAAAAAGACGGAAGGGCGUGUCCGGCCAGCUAAGAAAAUCCGCCACGGGAGACGCUUGAUCCGUGCACCGGGAAACGAUUUCUACUACGUACAACAAAGGACCUCCAUCGUUUCCAAAAAAUCUAUUUCUACCUAUUUUAUCGGUGCAAACGAAUUGCGUCCCAAGAUCCCUUUUUUCAUACGAAUUGCGUCCCGAUAAUAUUUAACAACUACACUAAUUGCGUCCCGAUAAUAUUUAACAGCUGUACUAAUUGCGUCCGAUGUAAAUGCAUUAUUUUCCUUCCCAUUUAGUACAGAUUUAGGACUGUCAAUAGCGACAUUAAAUAAAUAUUAUAUUGCUAAAGGUAAGUUAAAAAUAUUGUUUUUUAUCGUUUCGUAAUUAUGUACAUCAAAACUAUUGUUUUCGUCGUUAAAUAUAAAAAUAAAAGAAUAAGUAAAAAAAUAUUAAAAAAUACAAAUUAUAUAUAUGUUAUUAUACUAUUAUUUAUGACUCGGUGACAAUUUGAACGAUACGGUUUUGACAAAAUCAAAACGUGUUAUUUCGUUCACGUCGUAUUUAAUCAUUUCUUUUCUUAAAAAUUUUCGUUUUUCACAUAUUUCAUGUCUUAUUUUCUUUAUUCGACUACUACUGCGAAUUUGUAUGUAAUUAUCUUUUUGUACGUUUUUAAGUACAUCAAUAAAUUUGUAAAUAUUUGGAUGAGCAGAAUAAAACAUAUCGUUAAAUUUUGAAUGGAAAGUUUCACAGCUAUUUGUUGUCCGUGUAAUUGAACUUGAAUACAUUGCCCAUAAAAAAGGAGGAAAUUCACAAUCGGGGGUUAUAUAUGUAUUUAAAAUAUAAUCUGUAAAUGUUUCUAUUUGUUUAUUUUGUGAUAAAAUUGAUACUAUAUCAUCGGUAAACAGUUUUUUACAUCUUCAGGUUUCAAAAAAGGGAGACCAAAAAAUAUUUUUAGAUGAUAACUUAUUCCUAAAUUUAGCUUAUAUUUAUUACUCAAACCUAGAGCUUGAAUUUUUAACCAUCAACUCUGGCCUAAAUGGAAUCAGCAUCCUUUUGUAUCGAUAGAUGGCCAAACAAAUAAUACUGCCGAGUGAAUUGCUUUUUCAAAAUCAGCAAAUCACAUUUUUGGUAAAAAAUAGAUAUUAUUUUUUAUACAUUCUGACAUUUAGAUGAAGAAAUAUGAGUUUCUACAUUUUUGUCAAUUAAUAAAAAUAAAAACUAAUGGUGAGUAAUUUCCAUUUGAUAAACUGUGAAUUGUGAAAAAUCGUGUAAAUAACUGAGGACCACUUUUAAAAGUUCAAUCAACAAAUAUUGUGUCAACUUGACUUAAGAACUUUAAAUUAGUUAUUGUUUGAAAAAACUAAUAUAUUAUUUUCAUAGUCGUUAACUAAUAGAAACUUUUCAUCUUGGUUACUUUUGUUUUCUUUCAAUAAAUUAUGUAAAUUCUAAUAUAUUAUUUGGCAGCUUGGGAAUUACAGAUGUUCGACCGUGGUGCAUAUUUUUACAAAUUAAAGUUAAAUCAUAACUGGUUAAUGUCGAUACGUCAUUUGACAAUUCCCUAUGAAUGAGUUUUGAGGGAUUAUCAUAGAGAUCGUCUAUUGCCUUUCGUUUUAAAUUAUUGCUUAAUUUUUGUCUGUGUAAUAUUUCUACAGAAUCGCUUUCAUGGUUAUGUUCAGUAGGACGUUCCAAUAUUUCAUUUUUAUCAUUUAAUUUAGCAUGUGAUUUACAUGUUUUCUUGCAACACUUUCAACGUUGUAUAUCAUUUUUCAAUAGUUUUUGAAAAACAAAAUUUAAAAUCGUUUACAAAAAUCAAUGUUUUAUUUUUUUCAUUAACCAUAACCUCACUCACAGUUAAACUCGUAUUUUUUAAAAGAAAUAGAACAGCGCGAAAUUGUCAACGAGACGGAAUCGAAAGACAUAACAACCGAUUACAUUUAUUUCAUAAAUACUCAUAUAAUCAUAUCAAUUAUUGGUUGAGAUUAUCAAAGGUAUAACAGAUAAUCGGGACGCAAAUAGUAUAGUCGUAUAGAAAACCCGGGACGCAAUAAGUAUGUCACAAAUCGCAAUUUUUAUAUCGGAGACGCAAUUCGUAUGCAGUUUAUAUUAUAUACCAAUUCCGUCCCGGAUAAAAAAAGCGUAUAUACCAAUUCCGUUUCUAUAGUGAACAGACGGUCAACUAAAAAUUUACAAUAUUACUAGGUGUAUGAGUAUAAUAAAAAAUAAUAAAUCCAGACACGCAGCCGCACAAAUAAUGACUGGAAAGUUAUAUAGUUAUAUAAGUUAAAUAGUAUUAUCUUUAUUUCUAAAUAAUGCAGUAAUAUUAAAUUCGAUUAUUUAGUACGAUAAUUGACUGACAUAUUAUCUUUAUUUCUAAAUAUCAUAAAAUUGUUAUUCUAGUCGUAAAUUUUAUACUGUAAUAUAAUAUAGGUAGUGUAGAAAAUGUAAAAAGGGACGGAACUCGUAUAACUAAAUAAAUUACUUGGGACGGAAUUAAUAGGUAUAUCCGCUUUAAAAACACAGGACGGAACCAGAAUACUCUUAAAUUCAAUUUUUUUUUCCCGGAAAUCUUUUUUUGAUCAUCAAAUCGAUGCCAUUUUUCUUUUUAUGAAACCGGAGUUAUAGUUCGUAUACUAUUAUAAAAUUUUAUUAGUAUUAUAAUUAUUAAACUGUUCGGGAUUUGGUCGUUAUAUUAUACAUUUAAUUUGCAUGUAUCUAUAGGUUUUUUUUUUUUAAAUUCUCUGUUUCACGAUAGCAUUAUAUGUGUACUGCGUUAUAUUUGUAUACGACUGUUUAAUAUAGAUACGACUAACAUUAACAAAUAAAUGCUCAGUGGAACGGUUCGUUUUGCGAACGGACGUUGGAAUGAAUGUGGGUAGCGUUUGUUUUUCUUUUCUUUUUUUUCUUUUUUUUUUUUUGAGGUCAUUUGAAUUAUUUACAUUCCAAUUAAAUGUUAGGUGCGUGAUGCGCACAACAUAAUAUUGUAUAUUAUAAUUCAUAUUAUAUACGUACAUAUAUCGCCGCUGAUGGUCGAUGAGCAAACACACCCGUUAUGUCACAAUAUAUUAUUAUUUAGACCGUUUUAGGUGCCGUAUACGAGUUGCAUAACACUACUUUAUUCGCGUUUAACUGACGUAAAGAACCCAGUAGCUACCGGCCGCGUAAUAUUAUAAUAAUACGCGUAUAAUAUUUGAAAUAAUAAUUUCGUGGCCGUUCUUCGAUCGUCGAACGUUUUGUUAACGAAAUAGUUUAUUUUCUAUUGUUUACGUUCUUAUCACCGUAGAGACGUUCUCAGGAUUUUUUAUCGGGGGGGGGGGGGGGAUAUUUAAAUGUAUUAAAAGGCGAGCCGUGGGGGCCAUGCCCUCACACCUCUUUUUUUUUUUUUACAUAAAAACAACGUACAUUAAAUUACAACAAUAUUAUAUUUUUAUACAUCACUACUUGUAGGAGGAACCAAUUUUUGAAAAAAAAUUUAAUAUACUUGAAUUACUUCGUUUCAUUUUCAAAAAUAAAAAUACAAGUCAGUCGUCACUCGUCAAUAUACACUGUAUAAAUCGCUAAAAACGAUUGAUAAACACAAAUAUGUUAACACUUGUAUAAUCGAUGGUAUCGUGCGACUAAUUUAUUGUUUACAUCAAUAUAAUAUGAGAUUACGGAUAUUAUAGAUAUUAAUCUGUAAUCGUGGUCUGUAAUCUGUUAUUGUAUACCAAUUGCAUAUUCGCAUGGAAAAUGAUAACGAGUCGAAAAAAAAUGUAUUUAUUUAAUUUUCAUUAAAAUAUUAAAUAUCACUUAUCAGUUAAUCAUGAAAAUCCAUCUAACCUAAAAAAAAGGCCAUUGGGGGUUCUCCUUCCUUCUUGAGAACGUCCAUGUAUUACCGUUUCCUCCAGUAGUGAGAUUCGGUGGGAGAGCGAGAAGGUGCAAUUGCAUCCGCGAAGAUUUUCCCAGGGAGACCCCCAACAAAAAUUAUCAUUUGGCAUCCGCAGGCAACAGACAAAAAUAUCGUAAUAAAGAGUUUGAAAGUAAAAUAUAAUACCUAUAAUAUUGUUUGUUAAUUAUUUUCAAAAUUUACUCUCUGCGAUUGCGUAUUAGCCUUUAUUAUUUUUGUGUUGUUUGUGUAUUAUAUUUGUGUAUCUAGUAUCGUAUUAUUAUUAUUGCUCUAUAAUAAAACCUAUUAAUAGGCGUCUAUAUAGUUAUAAUGCAUGGAGAGAAAAACAAAUGAAGAAGUACUAAGAGUUGUAAAGGAAAAUCGGACAUUCAUAGAUACGAAAAAAACACCACAAUGGAAAAUAAUUGGACAUGCCUCGAGACACCCAGAAGAACUGCAUAUUAUAAUCAUAGAGGGUAUGAUAGAGGAAAAGAAAACAACAGGACGCCCUUGAAACUUUUAUAUAGGACAAAAUAAAAAGAUGAUGCAAGGGUAAAAACAUUUAGAGAAGUCAGGGAAAAAGCGAGCAAUCGAUUAGAAUGGAGAAUUGAAUUCGGUAUUUAUAGUAAAAUAAAUGAGUUGAUGAAAAGUGCUUGGAAAAUCAAAAAAUGACUUACUCCAUGAGCAAUUAGAUCCAAAAUGCAACAAGAUUAGCAAUAUUAAAACAAUAUUUCUAGUAUAAAAUAGGAUUCGAAAAAAAUUUCUGUUUUACCUAAACAUUUUUUCCCAGUUAUUUUGAAAACCCUUUGGAAAAUCGAAUACAAUAAUAAUAUUUACCUAUACAUAGGUAUUUAAUCGAAAGACAUGAAUCGAUUAACUCUGAUUUUUAUCGAACAAAACUUUUUGAAUAAGGAAAGUUUUAGAAUCAGAAAAUUCAUAACGCAUUACGUAAAAUCGAUUGUAAGAGUUAUACAAUUUUCACUGUAGUGGAGAAAGAGAGUGAUUUCAUUAGCUUACGUCAACUCAUUUCUACGAUAGUAAAGUUUUUAUAACGCUUUUAUAAGUCUUUAUAAGUAUAAUAAUACGUAUGUUGCGUCGGUUAUAUUUAACCAGAAUAUUAUUUCAAUGAAUUUUUCAAUAUUUGAAUCCUUAUUUAGGAUUUUAUCUAAGAGAGAGAUAUUAAAUUUGGAAAUAGUGUCACAUUGUGUAGCGUGCACCCAAGCUUAAAAAAAGGAAACAUUUUUAAUUUAUAUAAUUUUAUAAGUAAUAUAUUAUCCAAUCUGCCCUAAAAUUAUCAUUGAAAUCAUACACCUAACUAUAGGUUUAGGCAAGUAAUUAUUUAAUUUAUUUAUUAUUUGGGUACCUACUAAUUAAACCUUCAUGAUUUAACUUUCGGAUAAGUUUCGUUUUUAACAAGAAAAUUUAUACAUUCAGGUUUUUUUGAUGUAUUAAAUAUAUGUACCAACACAAUUAAAUUGUUGAUUUUUUUUUGACUUUAAGACAAAGAUGUUUCAAUUUAAAAAUAUCUGGGCUUAACUAUAUAAAUAAUAGAUACUGAAAAAAUCAAUAGAAGUGAUUUAUAUCCCUAAUUUUUCUCGUAAAUACACUACUGAUUUAAAUAAAAGUGGAAUUUAUAAACCUAUAUUUAUUGUGGUUCGUUUUGCAUAAUAUUUUGAUACAAUUUGUUUAUAUCCAGUCAGUUUAUCUACUAGUUUUAGUCGUCUUGCAGAUUGUGAAUGUCAGAAGUUAUUCAAACAUUUUCUUCCGGUUUCGCUACUGCAGUUGAAAAUAAAACGUAUUCGUUUAUAUUUAGUUAAGUAUACACAUGAGUUAUGUGUAAAUUUACAUGUCUUUAAGGAAAUAUUAACUGUGGGAUAGCUGUCCUCUGCCUCCCCCUCCGCUUCUCCACCGUUCUUUCUAGCUAGGUCUACCUUUGUAGGUUUGCACGUACACCGAAUGACAUUAGUGUUUAAAAUAUAAUUGCAGUAUUUCGGAGGGUGUUUAUGAUGUGCAAUGGGACGCGCGUUAGAAAAACGAGUGAAUAAUGACGAGGAACGGGAAAAAAGUAAAUUUUUACGUAAUUUGGAAACCCGAGUCAUUAUAGUACCCAUAAUAAUAAUGUAUUAAUAAUACAUUUAUCUCGGGAGCACGUUCGUGAUGCUGUUGCAUACAAAGACGUGCGUGUUUAUUGGAUUUUGUGCGUUAACGACGUACCUAUUAUUAUUACCUAUUUCACGUGCGUGUGUUUUGCAAAGCUAUUGCUGCAGCUGGUAUACAAGGUGAUUAUUUCAUCAUAGACCAGCGAUUAUCUACAUUAAUUGUUAGUAAAUUUGAUUUCGAUUUUUACCAGGCAUUAUAUUAGAGAAUCGUUUAUAAAUAUCUUAUUUACAUAUCAAAAUAUUUACCGAAAUAACACGCCUUUUUCUAAUACACGUUAUUUUUCUUCGUCGGCUUAGUAUAAACCACCCUUCGCAAGAAUCAUCACUCUUCUCCUCUAUAUUUAUUAUCAGCAUCCAAUUUUUCUCCAUUGUUUAUUCUCAGUAAGUUUAGUACUCUGUUAGGUUAUCUCAUCUUUUUCUUGGGCGACCUAGUGCAGUCUCUUACACAUACACAUAGCUAAAAUAAGUAAAUUUAGGUAAUUUUAAUAUGAGAAGAACCCAUCGGAAAAUUUCUUGUAUUUGGAUGGGCCUGCAGAAAUACGCACUUACGGCUAAAUGUAUAUUAUACGGUAUCCGGAAUAUCGCUAAAAUUUUGAAAUAAUACUAUAAAUUAGAUAAUUUGAAACAAUUCUGUAAUAUUGUUAUAAUAAUAAUUGAAAAAAAAAAAUCAAAUUUACUUAUCUUUGUAGAUCUAAUAUUUUUUUCAGGUUCGUGAUGAAAAUAAGGUUGAUACUGCUGAUGGGUAUUGGGCGUGCAACUGUUUUAGGAAGAAAACUGGG
This is a non-coding RNA of Cinara cedri, 10212 nucleotides long. Lineage: Eukaryota; Metazoa; Arthropoda; Insecta; Hemiptera; Aphididae. The record is from the annotation of a GenBank genome assembly.